This 253-nucleotide unclassified non-coding RNA is filed under the name uncultured Candidatus Altimarinota bacterium. RNAcentral describes it as "uncultured Candidatus Gracilibacteria bacterium contains 16S-23S intergenic spacer region". It matches the Rfam family "Bacterial small subunit ribosomal RNA", at positions 524 to 776 of the family's 1533-position model. The record is from RNAcentral. Lineage: Bacteria; Candidatus Altimarinota.
UACGUAGGGUGCAAGCGUUAUCCGGAAUCAUUGGGCGUAAAGCGUUCGUAGGCGGCGACGUAAGUUUGUGGUUAAAUCCAGUUGCUCAACAAUUGGCUCGCCACAAAAACUACGUUGCUAGAGAAUGGCAGAGGCAACUGGAAUUCCGCAUGUAGGGGUAAAAUCCGUUGAUAUGCGGAGGAACACCAAAAGCGAAGGCAGGUUGCUGGGCCAUUUCUGACGCUGAGGAACGAAAGCGUGGGGAGCAAACAGG